AAGACUCUACUUUCAGGGAUCAUUUCUUUAGUUUGGAACUAGAGGAUUGUGUUUCUGCAGAGGUUGGUCUUGCUGUCCAUGAUGAUGAAUGAAGAUGUUUCCUUCAGAGCAGGAAGCUGGUGAGAAGAUGAGAAUCUUCUUCACUGAUGAAGACUGUUCAGUGUUUCUGGAUGUGACACCGAAGGAGGAAACAUUGUCUGAGUGGA
Molecule: small nucleolar RNA, 206 nt
Filed under: Oryzias latipes (Japanese medaka)
Lineage: Eukaryota; Metazoa; Chordata; Actinopteri; Beloniformes; Adrianichthyidae
Description: Small nucleolar RNA U3 (ENSORLG00020013200.1)
Rfam family: Small nucleolar RNA U3
About the family: Small nucleolar RNAs (snoRNAs) are involved in the processing and modification of rRNA in the nucleolus.
Source: RNAcentral